UUUCAACCAUGAGUUUACGUACCUAACUUUAAUCGUCUGUCUUAUUUAAAUUUUUUUUAUAAUUAGUAUUUUUAUUGUUAUAAGAUGAUAAAACAUGAAUAGUAUUUUAUGCGUGACUUAUGUUUUUAAAUUUUUUCAAAAAAAAUUUAAAUAAGACGGACGAUCAAAAUUGGACAAAAAAGUCAUGGCUGCACUUAAA
Oryza glumipatula is the source of this 199-nucleotide non-coding RNA. The record is from Rfam. Lineage: Eukaryota; Viridiplantae; Streptophyta; Magnoliopsida; Poales; Poaceae.